Molecule: long non-coding RNA, 1293 nt
Organism: Asparagus officinalis (garden asparagus)
Lineage: Eukaryota; Viridiplantae; Streptophyta; Magnoliopsida; Asparagales; Asparagaceae
Exons: 2
Source: RefSeq, a predicted model, not a curated record
UAAGUGAGUAAAAUAGUCAAGGCAUAGUAGUUGGAAGUGCAUUGUGUUUUCUUCAGCUGAAGGUAACUUGCUAAAACUUGAUUUGAUUUAAAAUUUGAUGCAAAAAAUUUUUCUUGGCUCGUAAUGCUAACUUUUGAUGGGAAGUUGUAGAUUGCAUUUGUAAGAUUUCUGAGCUCCUUUUACCUUUUUAUUUUUGUUGCAAAGCUGUAAUUUUCCUCCCUGCAUUAACAACUCUUUAAAGUUUCAUAAACUAAUCCUACUAGUCUAAAGAUUUGCUUGCGACCUUAUUUCAUUUUUGGAUGACAAACUAUGUGAAAAUUCUAUAAAAAGAUGAAAGAUGAUAAGUUUUGCUAUAAGAAACAACAUUCAUUACCAGGGCAUGACCUAGCGACAUGAUAAUAAAUUCUAUUGCCAUAGAUAGAAUAAAGAAUAAUUAAUGUCUUUAUACGCAUGAAUGAUGCAAUUUUAAGUCUUUCGAUUUAUCUACAUAGAGAAACGUCAUAUCUUCUCUAUGAAGGAUAUUUUUUUUAACAAAUUCAAAAAUCCAUACAUAAAUAUUUCUGCCCUGUGUAAACUGACAUCUCUUGCUCUUAGUUUCACAUGCUGUUGAUUUCUGACACUGCCUUUUCUUCUGUGCUACUAACAAAUGCUAAAUUGAUACACUGAUGCUACAUAAAUUUUGGGUCAGCUUUUGUAAAGGAGAUAACUGUCAAGUGCAAGAAAGACUGUUUACAUCUCCAAAACUUAGAAAAAAAAUCUUACAAUAUGCAUAAUAUAGCAACCCAAUCUUAUCUGAUCUCCGUAUAAAAUGAUGCUCACAAUACGAUCAGUAUUCAAUUUUUUUAAUGCUUCCAUUUGAGGACUAAUUCAUAUUUAUCUUUUAAAUUGUGUAUUAUAUUACGUAGCAUAUUUCUUGGUAGUUGAAACUGUACUAGGUAAGUUUGAAUACUGACACGUCCUGCUCUAUUCAAUGGCUUAUUACAGACAAUUCGGAGGCCAUGAUUAAGACAUUAUGCUUUCUUUUUUCUUCGAUAUUCGAGAAUUGGGGAUCAAAGCAUGGAGAUUGACCAGAAUAGAAAUACAAGUGAAGCAAAAUGAAAUAUGAAGGUUCAUGUUAGACAAGCAGAAACUGAAAUCAUAGGGAAUGUGUUGAAGCUUUUGUUUGUAGCUAAUGUAUUGGUUUCUUUGUUCUUUUCUUUCAAAGUUUUAGCCUUCUUGGUCUUCUACAUAUAAUGUCAUAUAUGAAAGGACAUAUGUUUUCUAUUCAUAAUAACAACAAAGUUUUUAUUAGGA